Molecule: long non-coding RNA, 332 nt
Organism: Cucumis melo (muskmelon)
Lineage: Eukaryota; Viridiplantae; Streptophyta; Magnoliopsida; Cucurbitales; Cucurbitaceae
Exons: 3
Source: RefSeq, a predicted model, not a curated record
CAAGAAUAGCAUAUUACUUUGAUGUAAUUGCUGGUACAAGUACAAGUGGUUUGGUUGCCACGAUGCUUACAGCUCCUAAAAAGAACAAUCAUAAAUAACCUUUGUAUGCAGCGAAAGAUAUUGUCUCCUUCUAUAAAGAUCAUGCACCAAAAAUCUUCCCUCAAUCAAAGUUUCCACUUAAGUCUUUAAGAUCAGCAACGGAUGUUUUAUGCUAGGUGUACUCGAUCAAUUUCUAUCGGUAUGUUCAUGGGGUUUAAAGAACUUGAAGGGGAUGAUGAUAUAAGGGAGGAAUUCCCAUGCCCAUUUUGCCCAGGAUAUCUUGAUACAGUCGG